GACAGAUUUAAAAUAUAAGCCAAUAUAUCACACCUGCAGAAUCCACUGAAAGGCCAAGCAAUCAUGCCAGAAUCUCAGACCAGUGUUGCCCCAACCUACCGUGGUUGGUCUAUUUUCAACAUUAUAUGCUGCUGUUUGCCUCUUGGAGCUUGUGCACUGUAUUACUCCGGUAAGGUAAAAACUGCAAAUGAAGCUGGAGACACCAUUGCAGCUCAGGACGCAUCAAAAACGGCAAUGACCCUGAAUAUCAUCUCCCUCAUCUGUGGACUUAUUCUCAUCCCCAUCGUCCUCUAUUACCAAUUCCAAGAUCUGAAGCAUCACUAACUUGUCACUGCAAAUAUCUUCCUCUCCUCCACCGGAAGUUGAAAGCAACAUACGUAAAUGACUGAUCUUAUCUACAUCUGUCAACCUGAAUGCUGUCAAAAAUAUUCUUUGGUACAUUGUUUCACCCUCAAUUGUAAAAUCAUUUAAAGUUUGUUAACACAGAAAACAGCAUCGUUUAACUUUGUUCGGUGCUGGUUAAAAAUAAAGAAAACUUGAAACGGC
Long non-coding RNA from Xiphophorus couchianus (Monterrey platyfish), 546 nucleotides. RefSeq lists it as uncharacterized. The record is from RefSeq and is a predicted model, not a curated record. Lineage: Eukaryota; Metazoa; Chordata; Actinopteri; Cyprinodontiformes; Poeciliidae. The transcript is spliced from 2 exons.